This 293-nucleotide ribosomal RNA is filed under the name uncultured bacterium. RNAcentral describes it as "partial 16S ribosomal RNA". It matches the Rfam family "Archaeal small subunit ribosomal RNA", at positions 455 to 747 of the family's 1478-position model. The record is from RNAcentral.
GUGCCAGCAGCCGCGGUAAUACCGGCAGCCCGAGUGAUGGCCGAUCUUAUUGGGCCUAAAGCGUCCGUAGCUGGCUGCGCAAGUCCGUCGGGAAAUCCACUCGCCCAACGAGUGGGCGACCGGUGGAAACUGUGUGGCUUGGGACCGGAAGGCGCGACGGGUACGUCCGGGGUAGGAGUGAAAUCCCAUAAUCCCGCACGGACCACCGAUGGCGAAAGCACUUCGAGAAAACGGAUCCGACAGUGAGGGACGAAAGCCAGGGUCUCCAACCGGAUUAGAAACCCCAGUAGUCC